CAGGACGAACGCUGGCGGCGUGCCUAACACAUGCAAGUCGAGCGAGGAGAUCCUCGGGAUGAUCCUAGCGGCGGACGGGUGAGUAACACGUGGGCAACCUGCCUCAUAGAGAGGAAUAGCCCUUCCGAAAGGAGAUUAAUACCUCAUAACAUUGCAGUUUCGCAUGGAACAGCAAUUAAAGGAGUAAUCCGCUAUGAGAUGGGCCCGCGGCGCAUUAGCUAGUUGGUGAGGUAACGGCUCACCAAGGCGACGAUGCGUAGCCGACCUGAGAGGGUGAUCGGCCACAUUGGGACUGAGACACGGCCCAGACUCCUACGGGAGGCAGCAGUGGGGAAUAUUGCACAAUGGGGGAAACCCUGAUGCAAGCAACGCCGCGUGAGUGAUGACGGCCUUCGGGUUGUAAAGCUCUGUCUUCAGGGACGAUAAUGACGGUACCUGAGGAGGAAGCCACGGCUAACUACGUGCCAGCCGCUGC
RNAcentral lists this ribosomal RNA (475 nucleotides) under uncultured bacterium. RNAcentral's name for it is "bacterial SSU rRNA". It matches the Rfam family "Bacterial small subunit ribosomal RNA", at positions 25 to 518 of the family's 1533-position model. The record is from RNAcentral.